CGUCGCUACUACCGAUUGAAUGGCUUAGUGAGGCUUUCGGAUUGGACUUUGGCAGCUGGCAACAGCAGCUAGGGACUAAAAAGUCAUCCAAACUUGGUCAUUUAGAGGAAGUAAAAGUCGUAACAAGGUUUCCGUAGGUGAACCUGCGGAAGGAUCAUUCAUAAUAAGUGUUUUAUGGCACUUUUUAAAUCCAUAUCCACCUUGUGUGCAAUGUCAGUCGAUCUUCUUCAUGGAGAUUGACCAAACAUCAACCUUUAUCUUUUAACUCUUUGUCUGAAAAAUAUUAUGAAUAAACAAUUCAAAAUACAACUUUCAACAACGGAUCUCUUGGCUCUCGCAUCGAUGAAGAACGCAGCGAAAUGCGAUACGUAAUGUGAAUUGCAGAAUUCAGUGAAUCAUCGAAUCUUUGAACGCAUAUUGCGCUCUUUGGUAUUCCGAAGAGCAUGCUUGUUUGAGUAUCAGUAAACACCUCAAAGCUUUUGGAUUUUUUAAUCGAAAAGCUUUGGACUUGAGCAAUCCCAACACCAAUCUUUUUGAGAUCGGUGGCGGGUUGCUUGAAAUGCAGGUGCAGCUGGACAUUCUCCUGAGCUAAAAGCAUAUUCAUUUAGUCCCGUCAAACGGAUUAUUACUUUUGCUGCAGCUAACAUGAAGGGAGUUUGACCGUAUUGGCUGACUGAUGCAGGAUUUCACAAGGGUCGGCAACGAUUCUUGUUAAACUCGAUCUCAAAUCAAGUAAGACUACCCGCUGAACUUAAGCAUAUCAAUAAGCGGAGGAAAAGAAACUAACAAGGAUUCCCCUAGUAACGGCGAGUGAAGCGGGAUGAGCUCAAAUUUAAAAUCUGGCUGGUUUACUAGUCCGAAUUGUAGUUUAUAGAAGCGUUUUCGGUGGCAGCCUGGGUAUAAAUCCUUUGGAAUAGGGUAUCAUAGAGGGUGAGAAUCCCGUCUUUGACUCAGUGCAUGCUACUAUGUGAUACGUUUUCAAAGAGUCGAGUUGUUUGGGAAUGCAGCUCAAAAUGGGU
This 1019-nucleotide ribosomal RNA is filed under the name uncultured zygomycete. Its description in RNAcentral is "eukaryotic LSU rRNA". The stretch from base 719 to 1019 matches the Rfam family "Eukaryotic large subunit ribosomal RNA", at positions 1 to 297 of the family's 3401-position model. Lineage: Eukaryota; Fungi. The record is from RNAcentral.